UGUGGUGUAGCUUAGUGGUAGAACAGUUGCCUCAUGUGUGGAAGGUCCUGGGUUAAAUCCCCAGCACCACCA
RNAcentral lists this transfer RNA (72 nucleotides) under Fukomys damarensis (Damara mole-rat). It matches the Rfam family "tRNA". Rfam says of the family: Transfer RNA (tRNA) molecules are approximately 80 nucleotides in length. Lineage: Eukaryota; Metazoa; Chordata; Mammalia; Rodentia; Bathyergidae. The record is from Rfam by way of RNAcentral.